UCCUACGGGAGGCAGCAGUGGGGAAUAUUGCACAAUGGGCGAAAGCCUGAUGCAGCGACGCCGCGUGAGGGAUGACGGCCUUCGGGUUGUAAACCUCUUUCAGCAGGGAAGAAGUGACGGUACCUGCAGAAGAAGCACCGGCUAACUACGUGCCAGCAGCCGCGGUAAUACGUAGGGUGCGAGCGUUGUCCGGAAUUAUUGGGCGUAAAGAGCUUGUAGGCGGUUUGUCGCGUCUGCUGUGAAAAUCCGGGACUCAAUUCCGGACUUGCAGUGGGUACGGGCAGACUAGAGUACGGUAGGGGAGACUGGAAUUCCUGGUGUAGCGGUGAAAUGCGCAGAUAUCAGGAGGAACACCGAUGGCGAAGGCAGGUCUCUGGGCCGUAACUGACGCUGAGAAGCGAAAGCAUGGGGAGCGAACAGGAUUAGAUACCCUGGUAGUCCAUGCCGUAAACGUUGGGCGCUAGGUGUGGGGCUCAUUCCACGAGCUCUGUGCCGCAGCUAACGCAUUAAGCGCCCCGCCUGGGGAGUACGGCCGCAAGGCUAAAACUCAAAGGAAUUGACGG
Molecule: ribosomal RNA, 563 nt
Filed under: uncultured Actinomycetes bacterium
Lineage: Bacteria; Bacillati; Actinomycetota; Actinomycetes
Description: bacterial SSU rRNA
Rfam family: Bacterial small subunit ribosomal RNA
Source: RNAcentral